UCAGACGAUGCGUCAUGCAUAUCAAUAAGCGGAGGAAAAGAAACUAACAAGGAUUCCCUAGUAACGGCGAGUGAAGCGGGAAGAGCUCAAAUUUGAAAUCUUCAAGGUUUUACCUUGACGAAUUGUAGUUUAAAGAAGUGUUUUCUGUUGAAGUUUUGGUAAAAGUUCUUUGGAAUAGGACAUCAUAGAGGGUGAGAAUCCCGUAUUUGACCAUUAUCUCCAGCUGUGUGAUACACUUUCAAAGAGUCGGAUUGUUUGGGAAUGCAGUCCAAAAUGGGUGGUAAAUUUCAUCUAAAGCUAAAUAUUGGCGAGAGACCGAUAGCGAACAAGUACCGUGAGGGAAGGAUGAAAAGAACUUUGAAAAGAGAGUUAAACAGUACGUGAAAUUGUCGAAAGGGAAGCGUUUGACACCAGUGUUGUUUUCUCGAAAAUCAAUUAAAAAGAGUUGGAUUUUGUGUUGUAUUGACCUUAACAGCUUGCUUCACUCUUUUCCUGCUUUUUUUAAUGCACUUUUCGUUUAACAAGUCAACAUCAGUUUCUCUUGUUGUAAAAGGGUCAUUGGAAGGUGGCUUCCUCUUCGGAGAAAGUGUUUAUAGCCUUUGAUCUCUGCAAUCGGAGAGACUGAGGUCUGCAGCGUAGAUCCUUCGGGGUUAGAUACAUUUGUACUAAGCUACAGCUUUUCAUAGACAACUUGUUGACUAUGUUUAGUCUUGUAACUUACCCGCUUAUGCUAUUUUACCUACGCUUAGGAUGUUGAUAUGCAUGAAUGAUAU
Molecule: ribosomal RNA, 773 nt
Filed under: uncultured Neocallimastigales
Lineage: Eukaryota; Fungi; Neocallimastigomycota; Neocallimastigomycetes; Neocallimastigales
Description: partial large subunit ribosomal RNA
Rfam family: Eukaryotic large subunit ribosomal RNA
Source: RNAcentral